GGCACUACCUCACGAGCAGCAGGGGAAAUAACAGCCUUAUAAAGUAAUCUCAGGCCUAAAAUCAAAGAGGAAAUCAGGAGAUUGAGAAGCCCUUCCACCUUUGACAGAGCAGCCAAGUGCUGGGACCUGACAGAAAUCACUUUAAGGACAAAUGAUAAAUGUGCAAGAACAAAGGAUGAACAGAGGAUUGUUCAGCUCAUUUCCAUGCAACAGUGAGCAACAGAAGCAACAAAUAUGGUGGGAAUAAUAUGCCAAGUUGGCUGAGUUUUCCUGCUGAGUCAGGCUGCUGUAGGAGCCCCCUGCACACCUCUGGCCUUCCCACUCCAGCUGAGUCAGAGGAGGGGAUGCAUUGCCCGCGCUGAGGACAACAGCACGAGAGGCUGAUAAAGAAAGGGCAAGCUGAGAAGGAUGGCUGAGGACCUUUCCCCAAGGAAAAGAGCUGCAAAGGGCAGCAGAGACCACCACAUCACACGGAGGAAAUGAGAGGAUGAACUGCAAGCGGCGAGUGGGAAGUAGCAGCUGCUCUUCCUCAGGGGCACAAACAGACCUCUAAUUACAGCGAACAACGCCGUCCCAUCAAGCAGAAGAGCAUUAGCCAUGCAGCUGAGAAUGCCUCAGCCAAACUGACAAGUACUAUUGUUUGCAUACACUAAGUAAAGGAAAACAGCACAGGGGCACCCCCAGACACAAAGCAAUGGGCAUGGGGCAGGCAGAAAGAGCUAAGAGCACAAAAGGAAAGAGUGUUUUCUUUACAAGGACAGAAGAUGUCCAAGGGCACUUCA
Long non-coding RNA from Pogoniulus pusillus (Red-fronted tinkerbird), 782 nucleotides. RefSeq lists it as uncharacterized. NCBI's taxonomy places the organism in Eukaryota, Metazoa, Chordata, Aves, Piciformes, Lybiidae. The transcript has 3 exons. The record is from RefSeq and is a predicted model, not a curated record.